This is a long non-coding RNA of Sceloporus undulatus (fence lizard), 494 nucleotides long. RefSeq lists it as uncharacterized. The record is from RefSeq and is a predicted model, not a curated record. The transcript is spliced from 3 exons. Lineage: Eukaryota; Metazoa; Chordata; Lepidosauria; Squamata; Phrynosomatidae.
CAUAGCCAUAAGAAGUGUCCUGCCUGCAUGGAUAUCUCUCCAUACCAUCUCAACUGAAAACAACAACAGCCAUGACAACAGCAUGACAAAAUGUAGGCCUGUGACUCUAAUACUGUCAUAUUUGUCUUUCUCUUUCGUGAUUUAUAUCACCUUUGCCCGAUGAAGAAGCCAGUGGAGCUUCAAAAUCUUACAGCAUAUAUUUGGUGGAUUCUGGUUGGCCCAAUAAAGAAAGGCUCAAGGAACUGUGAAGUCAAGGAACUGUGAAUUAAGCUUUAACACCAAACCAGUACUAUUACUUCCCAGUCUUCGGAAUGAUCCAAGAGCAUUCUUCUGAAGGCAAGAGGGCAGACAGCAGCCCCCUAAUGUUCUUUGCAAAGUGCCUCCCUCUGGCCAACAGACAGAUACCAGUUGCUGUGGAGGGAAGAUGCCAAAGAAGACCAGGACCAGAAAAUGGAAGAAAAGGCCACAACUUUAUUAAGCAAACAGCAACAAAG